Molecule: small nucleolar RNA, 138 nt
Filed under: Ornithorhynchus anatinus (platypus)
Lineage: Eukaryota; Metazoa; Chordata; Mammalia; Monotremata; Ornithorhynchidae
Source: RNAcentral
CCCCUUUCAGGGUCGCAACUGGAGAGAUUCCAGUCCUCUACCAGUCUCGGCUACAGGAGAGAGAGUCAAGCAGGGGCCUGUCCAUUCCGUUCCUAGCUUGGGCAGUGGCUAGGGAGUGGAAGACAAUCUGCUACAAGU